Molecule: ribosomal RNA, 494 nt
Filed under: uncultured bacterium
Lineage: Bacteria
Description: bacterial SSU rRNA
Rfam family: Bacterial small subunit ribosomal RNA
Source: RNAcentral
CUCAGGAUGAACGCUAGCGGCAGGCCUAACACAUGCAAGUCGAGGGGCAGCGAGAAUGAAGCUUGCUUCAUUUGUCGGCGACCGGCGCACGGGUGCGUAACGCGUAUGUAACCUACCUUAAACAGGGGCAUAACACCGAGAAAUUGGUACUAAUACCCCAUAAUACUUUGGAAGGCAUCUUUUGGAGUUGAAAGUUCAGGCGGUUAUGGAUGGGCAUGCGUUGUAUUAGCUAGAUGGUGGGGUAAUGGCUCACCAUGGCUACGAUACAUAGGGGGACUGAGAGGUUAACCCCCCACACUGGUACUGAGACACGGACCAGACUCCUACGGGAGGCAGCAGUGAGGAAUAUUGGUCAAUGGACGCAAGUCUGAACCAGCCAUGCCGCGUGCAGGAAGACGGCUCUAUGAGUUGUAAACUGCUUUUGUACAAGGGUAAACCCUGGGACGUGUCCCAGGCUGAAAGUACUGUACGAAUAAGGAUCGGCUAACUCCGUG